This 331-nucleotide unclassified non-coding RNA is filed under the name uncultured fungus. Its description in RNAcentral is "partial contains 5.8S ribosomal RNA and internal transcribed spacer 2". The stretch from base 1 to 134 matches the Rfam family "5.8S ribosomal RNA", at positions 22 to 154 of the family's 154-position model. Lineage: Eukaryota; Fungi. The record is from RNAcentral.
UGGCUCUGGCAUCGAUGAAGAACGCAGCGAAAUGCGAUACGUAAUGCGAAUUGCAGCCUCCUCGUGAGUCAUCGAAUCUUUGAACGCACAUUGCGCCCUCUAGUAUUCUGGUGGGCAUGCCUGUUCGAGCGUCGUCAACACCCCUCAAGCCUAGCUUGGCGUUGGGACCCUAUACUCUUUAGUGUAGGCCCCUAAAACUAGUGGCAGGACCGCAGCGGACCUGGGCGUAGUAACACUACCCGCCUCGGGCUCCGCAGCGUGGGCUGCCGUAAAGCCGUCGCCUGGCGACACUUAUCAUCUUGACCUCGGAUCAGGUAGGAAUACCCGCUGA